UCCUUCUUUGUUUGAGAAAUGUCUUCGGUAGGACAUCCAAGAAGGGAACUGACCCAUAGGAAAAAGGCAAAUGAUUUUUUGCCUCUACUUUCUGAUUCACAGAUAUAAAUUCAAGAGGAAUACAAGUAAUAUAAAUAUAGUUUCAAGAGGGAGAGAACCUUAACAACUUGGAUGGAAUCAAGAGAAGCAUUUAGGAGCAAAGAAAUUGAGACCCAAAGGACCUUAGAGGACCAAGAAGAGGCUGAAUUUAAACUGGACCCUCAAACUCUAGCUACAAUGCUCUUUUCAUCAAGUCUUCUAAGAAGUCAUCAUUUCCAAACAAUGUAGGGAGAGAAAGUGGAAGUAGUGCUUAGUGGGAGGUUAGUGAGACCUCUGGAGAUCCAAUGAGCAAGUAUUUAGAUACCUAGAUGGAAGCCCAAAUGUCUCUUGUGCUUGAGAAAGCAAGCUCAGUUCUCCCAUCAUGGGACUACUAAAGAUGGGAGCUCCAGUUCAGUGGUGCCAUAUAACCAUUCUACAUCUGGCAAACUCCUACUUCUUCCAGACCAGUCUAACAAGCACACAUUCUUUGAUGCUCUAGGUGCUGGAGUCUCCAGGGAAAAAUGAAAAAUAUUCUUUAGUUCUAAGAAGCUCAGGAUCAACUUGGGGAAUGGUAUGGAGAAAGAAAGUUGGAGUUGAGCCAGAAGACUCAAGUCCAUAUCCCAACAGUGACAUUGUCUUGGUGAUGUGAUCUCAGUCAAGUUUAUUUUCUCUGAGCCUCAGUUUUCUCAUCUUUAAAAUGGGGGGAGGAGGAUGGAUUCCCAUCCAUUGAUGAUCUUUAAACUUGAUUCAUUGUUUUAACAAAUCUCACCUCACCUUGUGAGGCAUCUAGCUUGAGCUGCCCCAUCCUUUGGCUGUUUUUGUUCCCUAAUUGUAAGGAGAAAAGGGCCUUGAAGAAUUCUUAAUAAAUAUUUGUUCUAUGAAUAAAAAUGGA
This is a long non-coding RNA of Antechinus flavipes (yellow-footed antechinus), 970 nucleotides long. RefSeq lists it as uncharacterized. The transcript is spliced from 3 exons. NCBI's taxonomy places the organism in Eukaryota, Metazoa, Chordata, Mammalia, Dasyuromorphia, Dasyuridae. The record is from RefSeq and is a predicted model, not a curated record.